ACAAUCGGCCACAGGUUGUAGAAAAUAGAGGAUCCCGUCCGCUCUCCUGUACUCAAGCUGCAAACCGGUGGGUUAGUAUUAUCGUGGGUGACCAGAUGAGAAUACCCACUGCUGAUUGUU
RNAcentral lists this ribosomal RNA (120 nucleotides) under Hortaea werneckii EXF-2000. The record is from RNAcentral. Lineage: Eukaryota; Fungi; Ascomycota; Dothideomycetes; Mycosphaerellales; Teratosphaeriaceae.